CCAGGCAGUUCUGUGCGUGCUCACUGUUUAGUAGUACUCAAAACUGCCAGUGUGAGAGGAUUUGGAAAUCACGGGAUCUGCUCAAUACAAAAAUGUUUUUUUGAGUCUUUCUCCAUUUUAUCAGGAGUCUUUCUGCCACUGCAGUGGAUUUCCUUCCUGUGAUGGUGCACCGGCUCCCAGUUUUCAAAAGGUACAUGGGAAAUACUCCUCAGAAAAAAGCUGUCUUUGGGCAGUGUCGGGGUCUGCCAUGUGUUGCACCGCUGCUGACCACAGUGGAAGAGGCUCCACGGGGCAUCUCUGCUCGAGUCUGGGGACAUUUUCCUAAGUGGCUCAAUGGCUCUCUACUUCGAACUGGACCUGGGAAAUUCGAGUUUGGGAAGGAUAAGUACAAUCAUUGGUUUGAUGGGAUGGCACUGCUUCACCAGUUCAGGAUGGCAAAGGGCACAGUGACAUACAGGAGCAAGUUUCUACAGAGUGAUACAUAUAAGGCCAACAGUGCUAAAAACCGAAUUGUGAUCUCAGAAUUUGGCACACUGGCUCUCCCGGAUCCAUGCAAGAAUGUUUUUGAACGUUUCAUGUCCAGGUUUGAGCUGCCUGGUAAAGCUGCAGGUGAUAGUGAUGAUUAUUUAAACUAUUAUGAUAUAUAACCAUCUAUACAAACAUAAAUCUUGAAAAUAGAUAUUUUGUGUAUGUGAGAGGAUGUUGAAACUGCUUUCUCCCUUUGAGUGUGUGCUUAGCGUUGGCUACAGUAAGCUGUGGUACUUAAAUAACUCUAGGGUUUGGUUUCAGCCAUGACUGACAACACUAAUGUCAACUAUGUGCGGUACAAGGGUGAUUACUACCUCUGCACUGAGACCAACUUUAUGAAUAAAGUGGACAUUGAAACUCUGGAAAAAACAGAAAAGGUAAAGUACAGGUAAAAAAAAAAUGAAUAAAAUAGAUCCUAACAUUUCUUUCGAUUUGAAAUACUUUUUAGAGUAGUAUAUAUCAAGAAGAAAUUGAAGCCUUAACUACACAAAAAGAAAGUUAUUCAUGAUGCAGGUCACCUUUACCCUCUGGCCUGAUGGCCUCUGGGUUGGUUUUCCUUAAAUAUAAUUCUAAACUCCUUCCUUAGUCCUAAUAUCUGAAGGCUAGGGUAAAGGAGAAAUAGAAUAGUACUGAUCUGCUUUGGCUAGUUGGGGUGUUCUUCCUAGCUAUGGUUAGUAUUGGACUGGAGGUUGUCUAUACCUGUAUUUCCUUUACAUAACAUAUUAAUUAAAAAGAAAAUUUUACACUAGAUUUUUAAUUUUAAUUCUUAUGCUUCUUUUGAAUUUUCCUGUGAUAUUAGGCAAAUUUAUUCAGGGUGGUUUUGUUGUUAGUAGUGGUGAUGUGUUUUUGUUUGUUGUUUUAAUCUUGAUUUCUUUUUUUUAGUGGGAAAAAUAAUUUUUAUUUCUCAGAGGCAAGAAAUUAGGGCUUACAUUGCAGUUUUCAUAUCAUAUUUUUAAAAACAUUAGAUAUUUCUACUAUUUAUGCAUGUAAAUAGAGAUCUGCCAUUAAAAAUCUCCAGUGGUCUCAAAUUUGCAGGUAGAUUGGAGCAAAUUUAUUGCUGUGAAUGGAGCAACUGCACAUCCUCAUUACGACCCAGAUGGAACAGCAUACAAUAUGGGGAACUCCUUUGGGCCAUAUGGUUUCUCCUAUAAGGUUAUUCGGGUUCCUCCAGAGAAGGUGGACCUUGGGGAGACAAUCCAUGGAGCCCAGGAAUGACAAGGAACUACAUAAUUUUCAUUGAACAACCUCUAAAGAUGAACCUGUGGAAAAUUGCCACUUCUAAAAUUCGGGGAAAGGCCUUUUCAGAUGGGAUAAGCUGGGAACCCCAGUGUAAUACAUGGUUUCAUGUGGUGGAUAAACGCACUGGACAGCUCCUUCCAGGGAGAUACUACAGCAAACCUUUUGUUACAUUUCAUCAAAUCAAUGCCUUUGAGGACCAGGGCUGUGUUAUAAUUGAUUUGUGCUGUCAAGAUAAUGGAAGAACCCUAGAAGUUUACCAGUUACAGAAUCUCAGGAAGGCUGGGGAAGGGCUUGAUCAGGUCUAUAAUUCAGCAGCCAAAUCUUUCCCUCGAAGGUUUGUUUUGCCUUUAAAUGUCAGUUUGAAUGCCCCUGAGGGAGACAACCUGAGUCCAUUGUCCUAUACUUCAGCCAGUGCUGUGAAACAGGCUGAUGGAACGAUCUGGUGCUCUCAUGAAAAUCUACAUCAGGAGGACCUAGAAAAGGAAGGAGGCAUUGAAUUUCCUCAGAUCUACUAUGAUCAAUUCAGUGGCAAAAAGUAUCAUUUCUUUUACGGCUGUGGCUUUCGGCAUUUGGUGGGGGAUUCUCUGAUCAAGGUUGAUGUGGUGAAUAAGACACUGAAGGUUUGGAGAGAAGAUGGCUUUUAUCCCUCAGAACCUGUUUUUGUUCCAGCACCAGGAACCAAUGAAGAAGAUGGUGGGGUUAUUCUUUCUGUGGUGAUCACUCCCAACCAGAAUGAAAGCAAUUUUCUCCUAGUUUUGGAUGCCAAGAACUUUGAAGAGCUGGGCCGAGCAGAGGUACCUGUGCAGAUGCCUUAUGGGUUCCAUGGUACCUUCAUACCCAUCUGAUGGGACAACCACAAGGUCUGGAAACUAGGUUUAAAAUAAGUGUGCACUUGGACAUAAAGACUGGAGAAAUAAACACUGAGGACUCCAAAAGGGGGGCAAGGAGGAAGACGGGCAGGGGUUAAAAAGCUACCUAUUGUAUACUAUGUUCCCUAUUUGGGUGAUGGGUUCGCUAGAAGCCCAAACCUCAGCAUCACACAAUAUACUCAUGUAACAAGCCUGCACAUGUACCCCAGAAUCUAAAAUAAAAAUAAAAAGAAAAACAAAGAA
RNAcentral lists this small RNA (2879 nucleotides) under Pongo abelii (Sumatran orangutan). RNAcentral describes it as "retained intron". Lineage: Eukaryota; Metazoa; Chordata; Mammalia; Primates; Hominidae. The record is from RNAcentral.